Molecule: ribosomal RNA, 497 nt
Filed under: uncultured bacterium
Lineage: Bacteria
Description: partial 16S ribosomal RNA
Rfam family: Bacterial small subunit ribosomal RNA
Source: RNAcentral
GAUGAACGCUGGCGGCGUGCCUAAUACAUGCAAGUCGAGCGAACGGACGAGAAGCUUGCUUCUCUGAUGUUAGCGGCGGACGGGUGAGUAACACGUGGAUAACCUACAUAUAAGACUGGGAUAAAUUCGGGAAACCGGAGCUAAUACCGGAUAAUAUUUUGAACCGCAUGGUUCAAAAGUGAAAGACGGUCUUGCUGCCACUUAUAGAUGGAUCCGCGCUGCAUUAGCUAGUUGGUAAGGUAACGGCUUACCAAGGCGACGAUGCAUAGCCGACCUGAGAGGGUGAUCGGCCACACUGGAACUGAGACACGGUCCAGACUCCUACGGGAGGCAGCAGUAGGGAAUCUUCCGCAAUGGGCGAAAGCCUGACGGAGCAACGCCGCGUGAGUGAUGAAGGUCUUCGGAUCGUAAAACUCUGUUAUUAGGGAAGAACAUAUGUGUAAGUAACUGUGCACAUCUUGACGGUAUCUAAUCAGAAAGCCACGGCUAACUACGUG